AUUGAACGCUGGCGGCAUGCCUUACACAUGCAAGUCGAACGGCAGCACGGGUGCUUGCACCUGGUGGCGAGUGGCGAACGGGUGAGUAAUACAUCGGAACAUGUCCUGUAGUGGGGGAUAGCCCGGCGAAAGCCGGAUUAAUACCGCAUACGAUCCACGGAUGAAAGCGUGGGACCUUCGGGCCUCGCGCUAUAGGGUUGGCCGAUGGCUGAUUAGCUAGUUGGUGGGGUAAAGGCCUACCAAGGCGACGAUCAGUAGCUGGUCUGAGAGGACGACCAGCCACACUGGGACUGAGACACGGCCCAGACUCCUACGGGAGGCAGCAGUGGGGAAUGUUGGACAAUGGGCGAAAGCCUGAUCCAGCAAUGCCGCGUGUGUGAAGAAGGCCUUCGGGUUGUAAAGCACUUUUGUCCGGAAAGAAAUCCUUGACUCUAAUACAGUCGGGGGAUGACGGUACCGGAAGAAUAAGCACCGGCUAACUACGUG
This 486-nucleotide ribosomal RNA is filed under the name uncultured bacterium. Its description in RNAcentral is "partial 16S ribosomal RNA". It matches the Rfam family "Bacterial small subunit ribosomal RNA", at positions 30 to 507 of the family's 1533-position model. The record is from RNAcentral.